AAAAAUAGAAGGCUGACUUCGAGUUUCUCCGCGUACUUGCAUAGUGAUAGGGGCUACACUGGUCAAUAGAUUAGUCUAUUAAUAUUAUGAACUGGAAAGCGUAAUACUUUCUGGGAGUACGUGUUUCUCACUUCGAAGUCAUGCUCUGGGUAUAUAUAAUUCAAACCCACAGCUUUCUAGACUUCAGCAAAUAAUUUCGUAAUAUAAGACACCUAAAAUACUCAUUUGCUGGACUCCUACUAGGAGUCUUAAGUUAUAUUCAGAAAGUCAAUAUUUACCUAACGCACUAAUGACUUUUCCCAUUCUCAGAUUCAACUCUGGGCUGCAGUGUGGUGCAAUCUUGAGCUUGAUAAAAAUCACUGCUGUCACUGGAAACAACGCAUUUCUAUAGAAUGCCGUCACCUCUUAAUCUGAUUUCACUAAUUGUUGGAAGUCACGGUAUUCUCACUGAGUCAUAAAGCGUGCAGACGUAACAAAAUAAAAUAAAAUUCUUCUGGGUAGGAUGUAGCUCAAUAGUACAGCACUUACCUACCAUGCACGGGGCCCUGGGUGCAACCUUAGCUCCACCAACCAAGCAAACAAAGUGUACUUUAACUCAGGGUCCUCCCGAAGGCUCACCUGUUCAAUCUACUUUGCAACCCCAGACAACUCGACGCACAAAACAGAAGCUACGGCCCUCUCCUACUGAGCAAAGUAACACUAAAAAGUUCCUGCAAGUCUCAAAGGAGGAGCAGAGUAAAGAACCCAGCACUUUCCUGGAAUUACUGCAGAAAACUUCUAGCCUAUCAUCUCUUUCCAGUGUGCUGGAUUUUUGUUUAACAUCAUCUGGACUGACUAAUAAGAGGAGAAAAAAUUAGGCUGCCUGCGUUUUACAUAUUUUCAUUCAAAAUUAAUGACUAAAUAAAAAUAGCUAUUAUAAAAUAAACUCCCCUCUUUUUUAUAAACAUGAUAAACAAAUGCAUGUAUAUGAGUAUGGAGUGCUUUGGAUAGACUUAUAAAGCAUUCUGUAUAUGAAAAGGCCCUGAGGAAAAACGGAGCUUGAUACUACUCCCGUGCCAGAGCUGGGCAUCCUCCUAAAUAGACACAAAGAAUAAAUUACUACCUGACUAUGUCAAGUCAGAAGGAAAAGCAGUGUUUAGCAUAGCAAUAGGAAAAGUGAGAAACACUGCAACAGGCAAGAUUUUAGAGAAAUAAGCAGGAAACAGGAAACUGCACAAGCUACAAGUUGAAAGUUUUUUUAGAACCUAUUUGAAACAAAUGCAGCCACACAAGGAUGGAUAGUUUCAGGUACAGAGCUGCCAGCAGCAUUUGAUUAACCUUAUUAGCCCAGAGCUAUUUGAAGAAGCUUCUGCCUCUCAGGCUUUUCUAAAAGAUACAAGAGAUUUACCUGAUCCUGAAGGUCCCUGGGGUGGGAAUUGUUGUUCUCAGGGAGACUCUAUUGACUGGUUUUUCAGUCUAAAUUACAAAUUACAGUCUAUCCUCAUUAUUUGUGGAUUCCAUCAUUUGCAAAUUCUCCUACCUGCUGAAAUGGUUUUGUAAUUCUCAGCAUAAUAUUUACUGUAGUUUGAUGGACUGAACUGCACUAUCUACUCUGCAGUUAGGCUGAACACAAGCUUCCUCUUUGUGGUCCAUAGAGUGUCACGAGUUUCAACAUUUUGCAUCUGGGUGUGCACAUGUGCCUAUGUGUGUGCAUGUGUAUGUGUGUGUUUUAGAGAUAUCACUGUUGAAAGUGGCCCACUAGCACAUUGCUGUCUUGUGUUCUGAAGCAAAAGAAAGC
RNAcentral lists this long non-coding RNA (1777 nucleotides) under Chinchilla lanigera (long-tailed chinchilla). RNAcentral describes it as "lncRNA (ENSCLAG00000022885.1)". The record is from RNAcentral. Lineage: Eukaryota; Metazoa; Chordata; Mammalia; Rodentia; Chinchillidae.